AUGCUCCACUUUGCCACUACCCUUGCUCCACCUUGGUGUGCUGUAGUUUUUAUCUUCUCAGACAGCUCAUCCUUUCUCUCUGAGCGUAAGCUGCUCCUGCACUCUAAUCACAGAAGGCAACAACUGCUGGGGUUGGUGGUCCUGCGGGACACAUCGACCAUGCUCCCGGCGGGGUCAGCCUCCUGGGGAGCCAGAGGACCAGCAGCACACAUCGCUCUGCUUGGCCUUCUCAGGCAUUUUUUGGAUUUGGUGAAGUCUUCAGUACGGAAGCAGUUUUCUCUGGAAUUUCACUCUCUGCUUUCCUUUCCCCAGCUCUUCCAGAAAAACGCCUCCAGCAAUGCAGCCACAAACCCUGCCUUGCACCACUCACCUGCACAGAUGUUUACUGCAGAGCUGCCUGCAAUCUUUGACAUGCUAAUGCUCAGCAUGGGAUGCAGACCAUGAAUAUUCCAGCAGCGCUGGGUACUUCUUUCACCUGCCUGCAUACCAAAUUGGCCUCAAAAAUCGUGCUCCCUUCGACCAUCAUCGCAAGCACCACUUUGAAGAGGGCUUUUGUACCUGCUGCAUGGUUUGCAGGUUGUGUUGUGUCUUGGGAACCCUUUCGUGGAGUCAGGUUCAGGACAAGCUCUGUCUUGUCCUGCAAAACAGCUCAGAUGUGCUAGUGAGGACUUGAGCAGUAAUGGGGAUUCAGUUCCCCAGGCUGUGCUAGUUCUGCCAGGCCAGUGGCUCCUAUUUAGCGCGUUGGGGCUGAGGUCUGCUGCCCUGGCAGAGGCAGCCACAGAUGCACAGGAGCGGGUUCUUGGGCCAGCUCCUCACACCUGCCCUGCAAAGCCCUGCCAUCGCUCGUCCUUCCUGCAGCCGACAGCCCUCACCGAGGAGACGAGCAGUGAGAAGAGGUUAGAAAGGGAAGGGCCUGCUGGGGAGAGACAUGCUGGGAGGAUUGUGCUGAAGGUGCCAAGGUCUGCAGGAAUAGAGAACUGGCUGCAGGACCAGUGAGAGCAUCUCGGCCCUUAGUGGCUCAGGAGCAUCUCGUGGCAGCUGCAGCCUGGCCCCGAGGGCUGGCUGGGCCUGGCUUGGUGUGUGCCGGGGGUAGGAGGUGCCUCUCACUGCUUCUUUGUGGCUGACAACCAAAGGUGUCAAGGCAGAGCUGGCCGGGGAAGUCCCAGAGAAGCCUGAGCCUGCGCAGAGGCAGAGAGGCCUCACACAAAAGAUCACAGAGGGCUGCAGGAAGCGCACUGCCUCCAAAGCGGCAGCUCUGUUCCCCCAGGGACUGCAGCGACAGAGGAACAGCACGUACGAGGUUGGAGGGCUUCUGCCAAAGCAGAGCUGCGGGCUACGGCCGCGCCAGGGUGCCGAUCCUGCCCCCCACCGUAUCGCUGUCCACCACGUGGGAGCUGUUUAAAUCUGUUUCCCUCCGAACAAAGGAGCCAGAUGAGUCCUUACACUUGAAAGAAGCUGGUCGGGGCUGGUGUUGUUUCCUCCAAGAGUGCUGAGCGGCAAAUCCCUAGCGUAACAUAAAAACCCGGAAAAGAAUAGUAAUGAUGACUCAUUUGUCACCGUAUGUGACAUCUUCGCACCAAACAGUGCGCCGGUGACCUGUUGCCGUGUUAUUAUUGUGCUCCACUUCUUGAAUGGAUUCCAUGAGCUGCUUUGGGCUAUAUUUACCUUGCUGAGCGCGUGACGUCCUUGCUGGUUUACAGCCGGCAGAAUACAGCCAUGCACGUUGUCACCUCGGGACUCAGCAUCCACAGAGCCACGGGGACUGCAGAGUUUCACAAUGCCUGCCCCGAUGAUUGCUUUACAAGGCCGGCACAUCCAGGUGAUGUUUAAUGGCACACAAAUUAAAGCAGGGCUCAAAGAACACAGCCAGAGGGCAGGGUCCGGAGGCUCCAUAUCUCUUGCUGGGACCUGGGACCGGGCUCGUCCUGCUCUAACUGCCGGCAGGUUUUAACCACGCAUGGUAGAGCAGAGCGAGCACACUGCUCCUUGCCUACACUGGCAGCUAAGUUGGAUUCGGAAUGAGUUCAGCUGCUUCAGUUAAUGCCAAAAUAAACCACCGGACCUUGGCA
This 2069-nucleotide long non-coding RNA is filed under the name Anas platyrhynchos platyrhynchos (common mallard). Its description in RNAcentral is "lncRNA (ENSAPLG00000022764.1)". The record is from RNAcentral. Lineage: Eukaryota; Metazoa; Chordata; Aves; Anseriformes; Anatidae.